AAAGUGGAGCAAUCCAUGAGUAGAGUGGCGAACGGGUGAGUAACACGUGGGUGACCUACCUUCGAAUGGGGGAUAACGUCCCGAAAGGGACGCUAAUACCGCAUAACAUCCUGUCCUUGAACGGAUGGUGAUCAAAGCCGGGGAUCGCAAGACCUGGCGUUUGAAGAGGGGCCCGCGUCCGAUUAGCUAGUUGGUGAGGUAACGGCUCACCAAGGCGACGAUCGGUAACCGGCCUGAGAGGGCGGACGGUCACACUGGGACUGAGACACGGCCCAGACUCCUACGGGAGGCAGCAGUGGGGAAUUGUUCACAAUGGGCGCAAGCCUGAUGACGCAACGCCGCGUGGAGGAUGAAGGUCUUCGGAUUGUAAACUCCUGUUGCUCGGGACGAAAAGCUUUGACCUAACACGUCAAAGUCUGACGGUACCGAGUGAGGAAGCCCCGGCUAACUCUGUGCCAGCAGCCGCGGUAAUACAGAGGGGGCAAGCGUUGUUCGGAAUUACUGGGCGUAAAGGGCGCGUAGGUGGCCUUCUAAGUUGAACGUGAAAUCCCUGGGCUCAACCCAGGAACUGCGUCCAAGACUGGGAGGCUUGAAUCCGGGAGAGGGAUGCGGAAUUCCAGGUGUAGCGGUGAAAUGCGUAGAUAUCUGGAGGAACACCGGUGGCGAAGGCGGCAUCCUGGACCGGCAUUGACACUGAGGCGCGAAAGCCAGGGGAGCAAACGGGAUUAGAUACCCCGGUAGUCCUGGCCCUAAACGAUGAAUGCUUGGUGUGGCGGGUAUCGAUCCCUGCCGUGCCGAAGCUAACGCAUUAAGCAUUCCGCCUGGGGAGUACGGUCGCAAGGCUG
RNAcentral lists this ribosomal RNA (845 nucleotides) under uncultured Acidobacteriota bacterium. RNAcentral describes it as "bacterial SSU rRNA". It matches the Rfam family "Bacterial small subunit ribosomal RNA", at positions 71 to 896 of the family's 1533-position model. Lineage: Bacteria; Pseudomonadati; Acidobacteriota. The record is from RNAcentral.